This 558-nucleotide ribosomal RNA is filed under the name Pycnoporellus fulgens. Its description in RNAcentral is "partial small subunit ribosomal RNA". It matches the Rfam family "Bacterial small subunit ribosomal RNA", at positions 405 to 868 of the family's 1533-position model. Lineage: Eukaryota; Fungi; Basidiomycota; Agaricomycetes; Polyporales. The record is from RNAcentral.
ACUGAAAUCAUUUGAGUGUCACAAGUGAUGUCGUAAGGGAAAAUAAUGAUAUUACCUUACUAUUNNUGUCGNCCAAAGCUGGUGCCAGAAGACUCGGUAAGACCAGAGACGCANACGUUAAUCAUCUUAAUCAGGCGUAAAGGGUUUGUAGGCAGCUUUAAAAAACUAAAUUAUAAUGGCUAAAGUAAAUUUAGUGAAAAUUAAAGCUAGAAUCUAAUAGAGGUUAUAUUGAAUAAUACUUAGAGUAGGGGUUAAAUCCUUAGAUACUAAGGGGAAUUCUUAGGGCGAAAGCAUUUUUCCACUAAAGAUUGACGCUGAGAAACGAAGGUGAGGAUAGGAAAUAGGAUAUUAAAUUGCGACCUGAAAAGCUUAUUUAAGUAUAGCGGAAUUAAUCCGUCAUAAUAAUCCAUCUUAUUUGAGUCCACUUAAUAGACUAGCCUGGUAACUAGCUAGGACUAAAGCUUAAGAUUAUUUAUAAUAUUUAUAAUAUUAGAAUAAAUAGGAACUGCUUCUAAGGUAGAGAAAUCGAAUCUAUGUAACUAAAGGUUUAUUAAUAGG